RNAcentral lists this ribosomal RNA (465 nucleotides) under uncultured bacterium. RNAcentral describes it as "partial 16S ribosomal RNA". It matches the Rfam family "Bacterial small subunit ribosomal RNA", at positions 338 to 795 of the family's 1533-position model. The record is from RNAcentral.
CCUACGGGGGACAGCAGUGGGGAAUAUUGCGCAAUGGGCGAAAGCCUGACGCAGCGACGCCGCGUGAGGGAUGAAGGUCUUCGGAUCGUAAACCUCUGUCAGCAGGGAAGAACGGUCACUGUGCUAAUCAGCAGUGAAUUGACGGUACCUGCAAAGGAAGCACCGGCUAACUCCGUGCCAGCAGCCGUGGUAAUACGGAGGGUGCGAGCGUUAAUCGGAAUUACUGGGCGUAAGGCGCUCGUAGGCGGUAUGUCAAGUCAAGGUUGAAAGCCCCGCGCUCAACGUGGGAACUGCCUUUGAAACUGGCAAACUGGAGUGUGUGAGAGGAGAGUGGAAUUCCAGGUGUAGGAGUGAAAUCCGUAGAUAUCUGGAGGAACAUCAGUGGCGAAGGCGACUAUCUGGCACAUAACUGACGCUGAGGAGCGAAAGCGUGGGUAGCAAACAGGAUUAGAUACCCCUGUAGUC